This 30-nucleotide non-coding RNA is filed under the name Rattus norvegicus (Norway rat). The record is from RNAcentral. Lineage: Eukaryota; Metazoa; Chordata; Mammalia; Rodentia; Muridae.
UGGGAGGAAAUAAAAAUGAGAGUUCGACUG